RNAcentral lists this ribosomal RNA (58 nucleotides) under Oscillibacter sp. PC13. RNAcentral's name for it is "16S rRNA. Bacterial SSU". Lineage: Bacteria; Bacillati; Bacillota; Clostridia; Eubacteriales; Oscillospiraceae. The record is from RNAcentral.
AUUUUAUAGAGAGUUUGAUCCUGGCUCAGGACGAACGCUGGCGGCGUGCUUAACACAU